UACAGAGGGUGCAAGCGUUAAUCGGAAUUACUGGGCGUAAAGCGUGCGUAGACGGUCAUGUAAGUCGGGUGUGAAAGCCCCGGGCUCAACCUGGGAAUUGCAUUCGAGACUGCAUGGCUAGGGUGCGGAAGAGGGAAGCGGAAUUUCCGGUGUAGCGGUGAAAUGCGUAGAUAUCGUCUGGAACGCCAAAGGUGAAAACAGCUCGCUGGGGCUGCGCUGACGCUGAGACACGAAAGCCAGGGGAGCGAACGGG
This 253-nucleotide ribosomal RNA is filed under the name uncultured bacterium. RNAcentral describes it as "partial 16S ribosomal RNA". It matches the Rfam family "Bacterial small subunit ribosomal RNA", at positions 524 to 776 of the family's 1533-position model. The record is from RNAcentral.